Molecule: long non-coding RNA, 963 nt
Filed under: Homo sapiens (human)
Lineage: Eukaryota; Metazoa; Chordata; Mammalia; Primates; Hominidae
Description: HSALNT0299046
Source: RNAcentral
GACGCAGCAAUAGGGUGGACAUGUCAGGUUAUUAAUUACCCUGUCUCCUUUGUUCGGUGUACUCUCUUGGCAAAACUGCUGAUUCUCUAAAAGCAACAAAAAAGUAGUGAGUUCCUGGAUUAGAUACUCUGUGGGGUGCUAGGGAUGUGAAAACAUGUCUCCUUUUCUUGUUUUCCCUUUCACAUGAACUACCUUGACUGCUAAUUUUAUCUUCUCAGAUUAUAUCAUUUUCAUACGAUAUCUCAAAUCUUUGGUAGAUUGGAAUAAUGCAUUAAUAAAUUAAUAAUUAAUAAAAGAAAAUAAAAUAAUUAAUGGUACAAGGCACAAUACCUCCUCAAAAGGAAUGUAUAUCCCAACAAGAGGACACGACAAUAUUUUUAAAGACGAUUUCACAACAUCAGGGACGUUCUGAAAGCCCUGAAUGAGUGAUGGAGAUGGUACAGCUGCAGGAGAGAUGGGAGAGAUCGCUAGAAGACAUGAAGUGGGAAAAGGCUUCGGAGAGCAGGUAGUGCUCCUGCAAGGUCUUGAAGCCAAUGAAGAUUGAAGAGAGCCUUUCAUCCCAGAGAGGGAGGUGAACAAAGAUUCAAGCGCAGAGACGGGUCAAGGGUAUUCAGGAGGAAGUAAGGCAGCCUGGAGUUGAGAGAAAGGACACUGAAGUACAAGACAGAAAAAUGACUUUUCAGAGGCUGAAAAUGUACCAAAAUGUACAGGCUACUGGCUCUUGUCCACCACCACUUCCGCAUUUGCACAAUCUGAGAAUCCUGUACAAUCUGUGAGGCUCAGGAACAAGCCACUUGGAUGGGGGUCAGCAGGCCUGGGUGUCCUUACCAGCUCUGCAAGUCACAAACAUCUCCGAGCUUCAUUGUUUUUUCCAGAAGAGCAGUUCUCCACAUCCAUAUUGCAACACAUUGGAAUGUUUAACAAGUCAUUUGUUACUAUUAUGAAAUUAUUAAAGUAGGUGAA